Prinia subflava (tawny-flanked prinia) is the source of this 1964-nucleotide long non-coding RNA. RefSeq lists it as uncharacterized. The record is from RefSeq and is a predicted model, not a curated record. The transcript has 2 exons. Lineage: Eukaryota; Metazoa; Chordata; Aves; Passeriformes; Cisticolidae.
UACAGGAUAAGAUCUCUGAGUAGGUAUAGAAAAAAAAAUUAGGUACAGAAAAAAUUAGAACCGCUUUUGCUUUCACAGAAACAAAAAUAAAAGGAUAUAAAAUUGAUUUAAAUUCCCAUAUCCUUAUGCAAGUUUUUCUGAAACCUUGCUCAGGCACAGUCCCAGGGAAGUUAGUCCAAAGUAACUGUAUAGAAAGAUUCAAGACACUACAUACUGGCAAGUCUACUGACUCAGCCACUUCCACUGAAUUUUAAAACACAGAAAACUUUCCAUACUUCCCAAAAGCAGAAGGGCUAAGAAACCUUUCUCUUCUCAUGCUAAACCGCUCAACGGUUCAGUUUUCUUGAACAUGAUAAAAAUUUAUAUGUGCUGUAGUUCAGUAUUUGUUUUAAAAACUGAGGGACAAAUGGCAGAAAUACCAUGAAAAAUCUAGAUCCUGCAAAAAAUGCUGUUACUGAGAAGAGGCUUGUGUUUUGUGAAGGCUUCUCCCUGCAGUGAAGAAAUUGAGGACUGUACAGGCCAAAUUCCAGAAAAUGCAAUGCAGGAGAUUUGAGAGAUGUCUGACAUUACAGUGAAUGAGGGCAUGCAUGAUUUCCAUUACAGUAAGCAAGUGCUGCUUUGUAGGUAUCUUCCUGCAAAAGUUAUGAGGUAAAACGGAUAUAUGAAGUUUGUGUUUCACAGACAGGCUUCUGUGUCUGCUUGGCAUCGGCUGGGGGAUAGUAGAGCGAUGAGUUAAUAUUCUGAGUUUAGGUGGAACACAGUCAGGGCUCAUUAAGUUUCCAGCCAUUCCUGAACAGCAACAGGUGCUCGAGAAAUGUUUCUCCAGUAUGUCACAGACAGCUUCUUCACUGUCUUGGAAAUAACUGACUGCGCUUGUGUUUCCUCCAUGGCACCAACUGACAAAGGAGGAGAGAACGAAAAGGAACAGGAAGAGCUCCCAAAACAUCCGCAUGUGCAUAGGGAAUGGGUCCAGAAAAGUGAUUCUGGAAGCUGCCCUUCUGAGCCAUUCUUAUUGCCAACAAAUAAUUUUCCCAGAGCAACCACUGAGAUGGAGACUUUUUUAUUUACUGGUUAUAUACAUGGACAUGUGGUCUGCAUGAACAUGGAAACCCCAAAGACCAGCCACAGCUCCAGUUGCUUUUGGCAAGUGUCCCUGGGAUGAGUGCCUCAGGCAAGUGCCCCACUGACCUCCAACUGAGCUACCCCUUUGCUCACUAUUAAAGCAAACAGAAUAGGGAUUUCUGCCAAAGGCCCUUAUAAAAACAGUUUAAUCGCACAAGACUCUUCUCCUUCAUGAUCUUCACUACUCAGUCUAGCAUUUAUUCUUGCAGAAAAUGAACAACCUCCACGGGAACUAUAUUUUAAGCUGUUACAACACACAAAAUCUAAUACGCAUAUUCAGUUUUUUCCCAUAAUUCACUAGUAACACAAAAGGAUUAUUAUGCUUUUAUACUGUGGCAAUUCACAGGUCCCUUGAGAAAAUCACUGCAAAUGUUACAUUCCAUGAGAUAAAUCCUGAAUCCUACCACAGUGGACAAGAGUUUAGUCUCUGACUUAUCUUACUUGUUAUGGGGAAAAAUCCUACAAACUUUCUCCUUGAGACAUACACAGGCCCAUGCUGGAAUGCAAUGAAAAAGUUUCAAGGAGAUUUUGUUUUCUGAAAGGACUGUCUUUGACACAAAAGAAAAGUAGCCUUUCUGAUGUGUGCUCACUGAGGAUAUGUGAAUCUGCUUACUCUGUGCAGAAUCACACAGUUGCAGCUCAAACUGUGCAAGUGUCUGCAGCUCCCAAUCUAAUCACUUAUGCUAGAACUAAACCAACUAUGUGUCUUUUGUAUCAACUUACCUAAAGAUUCCAGACAAACUGUAAGCCAGGGACUAAACCAGGUGUUGUGUCAGGGACCGCUGCUAACACUGACUGGAAUAUUAUUAAAACAUUUUGACUUCUCAGUGGAAAUCACUGCA